This 429-nucleotide ribosomal RNA is filed under the name Chloroflexota bacterium. RNAcentral describes it as "Chloroflexi bacterium partial 16S ribosomal RNA". It matches the Rfam family "Bacterial small subunit ribosomal RNA", at positions 355 to 776 of the family's 1533-position model. Lineage: Bacteria; Bacillati; Chloroflexota. RNAcentral also lists the same sequence under 1 other name. The record is from RNAcentral.
UGGGGAAUAUUGCACAAUGGGCGCAAGCCUGAUGCAGCCAUGCCGCGUGUAUGAAGAAGGCCUUCGGGUUGUAAAGUACUUUCAGCGGGGAGGAAGGGAGUAAAGUUAAUACCUUUGCUCAUUGACGUUACCCGCAGAAGAAGCACCGGCUAACUCCGUGCCAGCAGCCGCGGUAAUACGGAGGGUGCAAGCGUUAAUCGGAAUUACUGGGCGUAAAGCGCACGCAGGCGGUUUGUUAAGUCAGAUGUGAAAUCCCCGGGCUCAACCUGGGAACUGCAUCUGAUACUGGCAAGCUUGAGUCUCGGAGAGGGGGGUAGAAUUCCAGGUGUAGCGGUGAAAUGCGUAGAGAUCUGGAGGAAUACCGGUGGCGAAGGCGGCCCCCUGGACGAAGACUGACGCUCAGGUGCGAAAGCGUGGGGAGCAAACAGG